Molecule: long non-coding RNA, 2060 nt
Organism: Perca flavescens (yellow perch)
Lineage: Eukaryota; Metazoa; Chordata; Actinopteri; Perciformes; Percidae
Exons: 4
Source: RefSeq, a predicted model, not a curated record
UUGAAAAGAGGGAGUUCACACAUGCGCAGUGGCUGUAGCAGCACUUUGCUUCUCCUAACCGUCACUGCUGCACCUGGCGCGAAAACCGGAGAACAAUGGAGCUGUCAACGGAGGAGCUGCUCCAGAAGUUAUCGGAUUCAGGGAUUAUACUACUGACUGAAGAAGAGACACAGAGAUUUAGAGUAUACCUGGCAUCAGUCACUUAAAUGCAAAUUCAAAGCGGAGCGUGCCCAUUUGAUUUGUGAAGACGAAGGGAAAAGGAGUAAAGAGAAGUUCGGUCACAAGAGAGUCUACAGAAGCGGCAAGAGCCUGUUGCAGAUUUGUGUCACGAUUGUGCGAUGAGGUUGACCGGAUCCAUCCAUCUACGGUCAACGUGUACAGACGCUGGAAAGAGGGAUUCACUGGCAUAGUGCCUAAGGUGGUCAAGCUGGUGGAAAGAAAAUCCGCGUUAGCCAAGAUGUACACAGAAGCAAGGGAGGAAAUCCUGACUCAGGAUCUACCAGGUUUAUGUGAGCAUUUGCUUCUAUCCUUCUCCAUCUUCACCAACUCUGUCUGCCUCAAAGCUCAGCUGCUCCAGGUCCUCCUCAGAGCUACAGGCGCUGUGCUGCAUCCGCUGGCAGAAAAUCCUGCGCCUUGAUUGGGUGCUGAGGUCUAGUAGGUCAAAAGAGUCAGAGGAGAAGAGGCUAUCCUCGCUCACCACACUGGAGGGGCGGCUGUGGCGCUCCUCGGCGCCUCCUGUAGCCUGGAGGAGCUGCUGCAGAGCCUCAGGGAAUAUUGUGUGGGCUGAGCGGUGGUCAUUAGGAAGAUCCAGACUGCGAGAGAACUUGCCGUUACGUUUCAGAAUCCCCUUCCUCCUUCUUACCGCCUCUGUGUGCAUGGUAGGGCUGUCUUCUGCCGCUGGGAGACAAGUGUGCGGUUUGUUGGAGCACAAAUCAGCUGCAUCACCCCCCUCUUUAACUUCUGAUCCAGGAUUCCUUCUGUCUGAAGAUGAGCCAUAACCCGACUCCCCUCCAUACAAGUUCUUCAGUAUUCCCUUCUUGGGCAUUUUGGAUGAGGGCUGACGGAAUGUAGAGGGAGAUGGAAGGCUGGUGGACAGGACAUCAGCGUGUGUGUGGGUAAGUGUAUGUGUUCGAAAAGGCUGGGGAGCAGCGUUACACGAUUGGGAGGAAGAGUUUUCUUUGGGAGGGCUAUGAAAGACUGAGUCAAAACUCCUGUGGGGUUUCAGAAUACCUUUGGGUUUCUUUCUUUCAAUGGUGGAAGUGGAGGAAAUCGCAGCAGAGGAGGCACCACCACAAGCUCCCAGUGCGGUCUGGGGAAUUGUAUUCUCCUUGCGUGACUUCCUCAGACUUGACAUUCCUCCAUGUGCCCUUCCUCCUCCGCCUCCUCCUCCUCCUGCAUGAUCGCUCUUCAGAGGUAAGCUGAAGUAAAAGGGGUGGGGAGAGAGCUGGGCUGGACGGGAGGAGUCCGAGGAUAGGCACCCUGGGUCAACGGUCAUGUUGCUGGUAGCUGCGACCCGGUUCUGCCAGUCGAUGUAGCGAGCCAGCAGGGGGGAGGGGCAUUCUUGGUGUGGAGAUGAAGGGCAGUCACACACACUCUCUUCAAAACCCCAGUUCACCCACCAGUGGUUGGCCACGUCCUCUAUCGUUGCCCUCUCGUCCACACGCACUGUCAACAACCAGUCGAUAAGAGCACAGGCGUCUGGAGGGAACAGAGUCAACAGUUAUUUAUAGCAGCUAAACUGACUAAAACAUUGUAAUUAACAGGACACUAAUAAGAACAUGUAGACGUGGACAUUGUAAAGGGUUACCUGAGGGGGGGUUGGGUCUGCGGUAGCGACCUUGACUGAUCUGCUCUGUGAGUGUGGUGUGGCUGGCCCCAUCGAAUGGCAUGCUGCUGUACACCAGGGCAUACAGCAACACCCCCAGCGCCCAGCAGUCCACCUAGCAUACAAAGACACGCAUAAUGAGGAACAUGCCUUGCCAACUCAUAACAUUCCGGCUUUUUUUUAAUGCAAUGAGUAAUUACAUUACAGCGGGACAAUCUGAAAAUGUGCCCCACGU